This 253-nucleotide ribosomal RNA is filed under the name uncultured bacterium. RNAcentral describes it as "partial 16S ribosomal RNA". It matches the Rfam family "Bacterial small subunit ribosomal RNA", at positions 524 to 777 of the family's 1533-position model. The record is from RNAcentral.
UACGAAGGGUGCAAGCGUUACUCGGAAUCACUGGGCGUAAAGCGUGCGUAGGCGGUUUCUUAAGUCUGUCGUGAAAGCCCUGGGCUCAACCUGGGAAUGGCGAUGGAUACUGGGAGGCUAGAGUGUGAUAGAGGAUGGUGGAAUUCCCGGUGUAGCGGUGAAAUGCGUAGAGAUCGGGAGGAACACCAGUGGCGAAGGCGGCCUCUGGAUCAACACUGACGCUGAGGCACGAAAGCGUGGGGAGCAAACAGGG